Eleginops maclovinus (Patagonian blennie) is the source of this 773-nucleotide long non-coding RNA. RefSeq lists it as uncharacterized. The record is from RefSeq and is a predicted model, not a curated record. The transcript is spliced from 3 exons. NCBI's taxonomy places the organism in Eukaryota, Metazoa, Chordata, Actinopteri, Perciformes, Eleginopidae.
UCCACUGGAUUACCUCAAUGCAGUCCUGUUUGAGCUUGGAGGUGCACAAAUAUUUCAGGCCAGCAGCUGUGGUACAUUGCUUUGCAAUGUACAGAAUGCUCCUGAUGGUGGUGAUCAAGCCAUUCUGGCAAGGAGGUUUGCGCUUGGACCUUUAGUGAUUUUUUGAAGAUCUACCUGAACUGCCAUCCUGCUAUCCAACCCAUGGAGCUGGCCAGGAAGGUCUCCUUCUCCUGAUUUCCAGCACCAAGGGGCCUCCUCCACGGGUUAGAGUCCCUAACAGAUCUUGUUUAUAAAGACAUGGCAUCAGUGAGACAGGCGAAUAAAUGGUUACAAAGGUAUGAACGUGAUUUAUGGUUAUUUUGUGCUAACAGAGAUGUGUCUGGAGCUAUUUGAAGCUUUUUCACAAAAACAGAGUGGACAAGCUCAUCAGGAAGGCCAGCUGGUGGCAGGGGCCAGAACACUGAACAGUCUAGGCUCUAUACUGGCCAGCCCUGCUCACCCACUCCACCCCCUGAAGGUGGUAAACAGCAGUUAUCUUUUCACGCUCUACCUUGAAUUUAGGACGUCAAAAAGUCUGUUGACUUUGUCAAUGAAGUCCGCGGUGCCCUUGGCCUCAGGUGGGAGUCUGUUGAGUGUGACCAUUGCAGAGAUUCCUGGGAGAGAAGAUGCUACUAUGAGACUGAAUGGCUGAAUAUCUGAGUGGCCAAGCUCACUCUCAUCUUUGAAAAAGCUGGGAGAUGGAUGUGCUUGUGUGUGAGCUUGGGAGCCAUUCG